Molecule: ribosomal RNA, 249 nt
Filed under: uncultured bacterium
Lineage: Bacteria
Description: partial 16S ribosomal RNA
Rfam family: Bacterial small subunit ribosomal RNA
Source: RNAcentral
UAGGUGACCAGCGUUGUCCGGAAUUACUGGGCGUAAAGAGCGCGCAGGCUGGCGUUCAAGUCGAGGGUGAAAGCCACCGGCUCAACUGGGGAGGGUCACUCGAUACUGAUCGACUUGAAGGCAGGAGAGGGAAGCGGAAUUCCCGGUGUAGUGGUGAAAUGCGUAGAUAUCGGGAGGAACACCAGUGGCGAAGGCGGCUUCCUGGCCUGUUCUUGACGCUGAGGCGCGAAAGCUAGGGGAGCAAACGGG